Molecule: small nuclear RNA, 113 nt
Organism: Prolemur simus (greater bamboo lemur)
Lineage: Eukaryota; Metazoa; Chordata; Mammalia; Primates; Lemuridae
Source: Ensembl
GUGCUCACUUCAGCAUCACAUAUACUAUUAAUAAAAUUGGAAUGAUACAGAGAAGAUUAGCAAGACCCCUGCACAAGAAUGACAUGCAAAUUCGUGAAGCAUUCCAUAUUUUA